AUUGAACGCUGGCGGCAUGCUUUACACAUGCAAGUCGAACGGCAGCGCGGGCUUCGGCCUGGCGGCGAGUGGCGAACGGGUGAGUAAUGCAUCGGAACGUGCCCAGUAGUGGGGGAUAGCCCGGCGAAAGCCGGAUUAAUACCGCAUACGACCUGAGGGUGAAAGCGGGGGACCGAAAGGCCUCGCGCUAUUGGAGCGGCCGAUGUCGGAUUAGCUAGUUGGUGGGGUAAAGGCUUACCAAGGCGACGAUCCGUAGCUGGUCUGAGAGGACGACCAGCCACACUGGGACUGAGACACGGCCCAGACUCCUACGGGAGGCAGCAGUGGGGAAUUUUGGACAAUGGGGGCAAGCCUGAUCCAGCCAUGCCGCGUGCGGGAAGAAGGCCUUCGGGUUGUAAACCGCUUUUGUUCGGGAAGAAAUCCUCUGGGCUAAUACCCCGGGGGGAUGACGGUACCGAAAGAAUAAGCACCGGCUAACUACGUG
This 484-nucleotide ribosomal RNA is filed under the name uncultured bacterium. Its description in RNAcentral is "partial 16S ribosomal RNA". It matches the Rfam family "Bacterial small subunit ribosomal RNA", at positions 29 to 507 of the family's 1533-position model. The record is from RNAcentral.